This 468-nucleotide ribosomal RNA is filed under the name uncultured bacterium. Its description in RNAcentral is "partial 16S ribosomal RNA". It matches the Rfam family "Bacterial small subunit ribosomal RNA", at positions 28 to 507 of the family's 1533-position model. The record is from RNAcentral.
GACGAACGCUGGCGGCGUGCUUAACACAUGCGAGUCGAACGGAAAGGCCCUGCUUUUGUGGGGUGCUCGAGUGGCGAACGGGUGAGUAACACGUGAGUAACCUGCCCUUGACUUUGGGAUAACUUCAGGAAACUGGGGCUAAUACCGGAUAGGAGCUCCUGCUGCAUGGUGGGGGUUGGAAAGUUUCGGCGGUUGGGGAUGGACUCGCGGCUUAUCAGCUUGUUGGUGGGGUAGUGGCUUACCAAGGCUUUGACGGGUAGCCGGCCUGAGAGGGUGACCGGCCACAUUGGGACUGAGAUACGGCCCAGACUCCUACGGGAGGCAGCAGUGGGGAAUAUUGCACAACGGGCGGAAGCCUGAUGCAGCAACGCCGCGUGCGGGAUGACGGCCUUCGGGUUGUAAACCGCUUUCGCCUGUGACGAAGCGUGAGUGACGGUAAUGGGUAAAGAAGCACCGGCUAACUACGUG